AGUAAAAGUGGGACUUUAAACCUAAAAUUUUUGGCGGUUUUUCAAGCCUAUCAGAGGAGCUUGUUCUGUAAUCGAUGGUCCACGUUUGGGUUUACCUUCUUUUUAUAUAUCGCCGUCAAUGACAGGUCAAGAUGUAGCUUAUAGGAGGGGUUGAAAGUGGAUUUGAAUGUGUAGAGAGUUAAUAUUUGCGCUGAGAAAUGU
Molecule: ribosomal RNA, 201 nt
Filed under: Weygoldtia davidovi
Lineage: Eukaryota; Metazoa; Arthropoda; Arachnida; Amblypygi; Charinidae
Description: partial small subunit ribosomal RNA
Source: RNAcentral